Molecule: ribosomal RNA, 497 nt
Filed under: uncultured bacterium
Lineage: Bacteria
Description: partial 16S ribosomal RNA
Rfam family: Bacterial small subunit ribosomal RNA
Source: RNAcentral
GAUGAACGCUGGCGGCGUGCCUAAUACAUGCAAGUCGAGCGAACAGACGAGGAGCUUGCUCCUCUGACGUUAGCGGCGGACGGGUGAGUAACACGUGGAUAACCUACCUAUAAGACUGGGAUAACAUCGGGAAACCGGAGCUAAUACCGGAUAAUAUAUUGAACCGCAUGGUUCAAUAGUGAAAGACGGUUUUGCUGUCACUUAUAGAUGGAUCCGCGCCGCAUUAGAUAGUUGGUAAGGUAACGGCUUACCAAGGCGACGAUGCGUAGCCGACCUGAGAGGGGGAUCGGCCACACUGGAACUGAGACACGGUCCAGACUCCUACGGGAGGCAGCAGUAGGGAAUCUUCCGCAAUGGGCGAAAGCCUGACGGAGCAACGCCGCGUGAGUGAUGAAGGUCUUCGGAUCGUAAAACUCUGUUAUUAGGGAAGAACAAAUGUGUAAGUAACUAUGCACGUCUUGACGGUACCUAAUCAGAAAGCCACGGCUAACUACGUG